GGAGGAAGGAGCCUCC
Molecule: unclassified non-coding RNA, 16 nt
Filed under: Bos taurus (domestic cattle)
Lineage: Eukaryota; Metazoa; Chordata; Mammalia; Artiodactyla; Bovidae
Description: VEGF Ax1 from Bos taurus (PDB 7KUC, chain A)
Source: RNAcentral